CAGUAGCCGCGGUAAUACAGAGGGUGCGAGCGUUAAUCGGAUUUACUGGGCGCAAAGCGUGCGUAGGCGGCUUCUUAAGUCGGAUGUGAAAUCCCUGAGCUUAACUUAGGAAUUGCAUUCGAUACUGGGAAGCUAGAGUAUGGGAGAGGAUGGUAGAAUUCCAGGUGUAGCGGUGAAAUGCGUAGAGAUCUGGAGGAAUACCGAUGGCGAAGGCAGCCAUCUGGCCUAAUACUGACGCUGAGGUACGAAAGCAUGGGGAGCAAACAGGAUUAGAUACCCCAGUAGUCCCUGUCUCUUAUAC
Molecule: ribosomal RNA, 301 nt
Filed under: uncultured bacterium
Lineage: Bacteria
Description: partial 16S ribosomal RNA
Rfam family: Bacterial small subunit ribosomal RNA
Source: RNAcentral